UUCAAUUUACAUAUUAUCAGAGUUUUCAACCCCAAGUACGAAACCUUUAAACAUCUAUUACAUAAUAAUAUUUAUCAUCCUUAUCAUAAAGUCAAAUUAUUACAUAGGAUAACAUAGAAAUUCAUUCAGCAACCUUUCCUUUCCCUUUGUUUCUGGCAGAUCCUUCAGGUUGUUCACACUUAGCUGAAACAUUUAAAUUAAGCAAGGAUGAGCAUUUGAGUACUCAGCAAGUAAUAACAAGCAAUAACAGUUAGCUAAAAGAAUUAAAUAUUUUCUUUGAACGAUACUUCUACAACGGAUCAACAGUUGUGAAGUAAGCUGAACCAAUA
RNAcentral lists this long non-coding RNA (329 nucleotides) under Panax ginseng (ginseng). RNAcentral's name for it is "long non-coding RNA (PGIN_LNC003947)". Lineage: Eukaryota; Viridiplantae; Streptophyta; Magnoliopsida; Apiales; Araliaceae. The record is from RNAcentral.